Molecule: long non-coding RNA, 2597 nt
Filed under: Equus caballus (horse)
Lineage: Eukaryota; Metazoa; Chordata; Mammalia; Perissodactyla; Equidae
Description: lncRNA (ENSECAG00000049244.1)
Source: RNAcentral
UGGGUCUACCUCCUUCCGUUUUCUAUUUGUUCCUUCUGUGAUCCCUGUUUCCCUUUUCCUGCCUUCUUUUGGGCUAUUUAAAUAUUUUGUGGGUUCCAUUUUAUUUCAUCUAUUGAAUUUUUUAUCAUCUCUUUGUAUAGUUUUUUUUUAGUGAUUUCUUUAAGGAUUACAAUAUGUGUACUUAACUCUUCACAGUCUACCUAGAAUUAAUUUUACCACUUGAAGUGGAAAGGAGAAGCGGUGUUACUACACAGACCUUCUUACCCUGCCCUCUUUUUUUUUUUUUUUAAAGAUUUUAUUUUUCCUUUUUCUCCCAAAGACCCCCGGUACGUAGUUGUGUAAUUUUAGCUGUGGGUCCUUCUAGAUAUGGCAUGUGGGAUGCCGCCUCAGCAUGGCUUGAUGAGGAGUGCCAUGUCCGCACCCAGGAUUCGAACCGGUGAAAUCCCGGGCCUCCGAAGCAGAGCGCGUGAACUUAACCACUCGGCCACGGGGCCGGCCCCUCCUGCCCUCUUUUUAAAACAAAUUUUAUUUAGUACACUAAUGGUUCUUCUUUGAGGUAUAAGUUAUAUACAGUAAAAAGUACAAAUCUCAAAUACAUCACUGACUGAAUUUUCAUGCUCUCUCCUCUUUGCCUUGUAGUUCUCGCAUACACAUCAAUGUGGGUGAAAACCCUUCCUGACAAUGUUACCAGUUUUGCUCUCAACAGCCAUACAUAUGCUAAAGAUCAAAUAUCUGAAAUCUGUUACUCUUUCUUCCUUCUCGAAGUUUCAGUUUUCCUUAUGUGAUCAUUUCCCUUCCAGCAAAAUAACUCCCUGCAGCAUUUCUUUUAGAGCAGGCCUGCUGGCAACAGACUGUCUUAGUUUUGCUCCAUUUGAGAACGUUUUGAUUUUGCUUUCAUUCUUCAAGUGUAUUUUUAUUGGAUAAAGAAUUCUGGAUUGACAGCUCCUUUUUUCUGCCUUUAAAAAUGUCGUUUCUCUGUUUUCUGGCCUUCUUGAUUUCUGAUGAGAAACCCAUGAUCUUUUGUAUCCAUCUGUAUGCAAUGCAUAGUUUUUCUCUGGCUGUUUUCAAAAAUUUUAAAUUUGUUUUCAGUUUCCAACAGUUCGGUUAUGAUAUGUCUGGGCAUGGAUUUCUUUGGGAUUACGCUGUUUUGGGUUCACUGAGCUUUCCAAACCUGUAAGUUUAUACCUGUUGGCAAAUUUGGAUAAUUUCCAGCCAUUAUUUCCUAAAUAUUCUCUCUGCUGUCAUCACAAAGAAUGUGGCAGCAUUUCUAGCCACACUUAUGGUUCCAUCAGUUUCUCACUGUGAUUCUGUCCCAUAAUAAGGCUCUUGUGACCUAUCUGGUUUAAAAUAUUACAUCUUCCUAAUGCAUUGUUCCUUUUAUAAAAAUAGAGUGAUCUUCUGACCUUAAUAAUGCUUUUCUGCAUUAACAUCUGUUUUGUCUGAAUUUAACACAGCUCCAUUGGCUUCUGCCAGCCUCGUGCCUGCCCCAUACAUCCUUUCCUCUUCCUCUACCCUCAGCUUUUCCACUUAGAGGAGCAGAGCAGAGGGGUGUCUCUUCUAAAGAGCACGUGUCUGGAUGUGAAAGAAAUUCCGUCUGCUGGUGUUUGUCCUCCCUGGUUUGUGAGAGCACUAGAGCUUUGAAAUUGCUGGCGUAUUUGGAUGUGCUCUCGAAUCUGGCGGUGUAAACUGGGCUGGACACCUACACCCUCUGACCCCUCGUCCUCUCCUCUAUCAAACGGGAUGGUUGAGCUGCCCUCAGUGUUGUGUGAGGAUUAAAUGAGAUGACAUAUAUAAAUUAUUCGGCAGACUGGCCAACACAUGUAGGCCCUUAAUAAAGAUUCCUUUUUUCCCCUGACCCUGUCCCCCUUUAGACCGACAUGGGCAGACACGGACCUCACAACAAAGCGGGUGCCGGGGAUGCUCAGAGCACCAGGGGGAGGGAGAUUCAGCUCCUCAGGGACAGAGACGGGGAGAGUAGGGGCAGAGAGAGGUGGAGGCGUAUGCUACAGGUCAGAGCCAGUGGCCAGGCCCGGGGUCAGUGCUGUACAAAGCACGUCUUACGAUUCCACUUUAUAGGCGAGCAGCCACCGAGGUUUGAGGAAGUCACUUAUCCAUGGUCCCAAAAGCAGCACCGGGAGGAGUGGGGCUCUGCGGCCUGACCUUAGGCCCACGUCUUUUCCGCCCCCUGCAGCCUGUCAGAGGCCUGUGCGAUAACUUCCCUGGGAACGGGUGCCUGUUGUCGCUGUUUUUCCCUGUCUGUUGACUUUUCGCUCAGUCUCCCCUCGGCGGUACCUGUGUUUGGAUGUUUCUGGGACUCUCAGAGACCCUGACACCAGACCUGUCUCCCUGGCUCUCAACCUUCCUGUUCUCUUUUUUUUUUUUUUUUGAGGAAGAUUAGCCCUGAGCUAACUGCUGCCAAUCGUCCUCUUUCCGCUGAGGAAGACUGGCCUUGAGCUAACAUCCAUGCCCAUCUUCCUCAACUUUAUAUGUGGGAUGCCUACUACAGCAUGGCGUGCCAAAUGGUGCCAUGUCCGCACCUGGGAUCCGAACUGGCGAACCCUAGGCCGCCGAAGUGGAACGUUUGCACUUAACCGCUG